UACGGGGGGGGCAAGCGUUGUUCGGAAUUACUGGGCGUAAAGGGCGCGUAGGCGGCCUGCUAAGUCGGACGUGAAAUCCCUCGGCUCAACCGAGGAACUGCGUCCGAUACUGGUGGGCUUGAAUCCGGGAGAGGGAUGUGGAAUUCCAGGUGUAGCGGUGAAAUGCGUAGAUAUCUGGAGGAACGCCGGUGGCGAAGGCGGCAUCCUGGACCGGUAUUGACGCUGAGACGCGAAAGCGUGGGGAGCGAACAGG
Molecule: ribosomal RNA, 253 nt
Filed under: uncultured bacterium
Lineage: Bacteria
Description: partial 16S ribosomal RNA
Rfam family: Bacterial small subunit ribosomal RNA
Source: RNAcentral